AACCGGAUUAGAUACCCUGGUAGUCCAUGCCGUAAACGAUGUCUACUAGCCGUUGGGGCCUUUGAGGCUUUAGUGGCGCAGCUAACGCGAUAAGUAGACCGCCUGGGGAGUACGGUCGCAAGACUAAAACUCAAAUGAAUUGACGGGGGCCCGCACAAGCGGUGGAGCAUGUGGUUUAAUUCGAUGCAACGCGAAGAACCUUACCUGGUCUUGACAUAGUAAGAACUUUCCAGAGAUGGAUUGGUGCCUUCGGGAACUUACAUACAGGUGCUGCAUGGCUGUCGUCAGCUCGUGUCGUGAGAUGUUGGGUUAAGUCCCGCAACGAGCGCAACCCUUUUCCUUAUUUGCCAGCGGGUUAAGCCGGGAACUUUAAGGAUACUGCCAGUGACAAACUGGAGGAAGGCGGGGACGACGUCAAGUCAUCAUGGCCCUUACGACCAGGGCUACACACGUGCUACAAUGGUCGGUACAAAGGGUUGCUACCUCGCGAGAGGAUGCUAAUCUCAAAAAGCCGAUCGUAGUCCGGAUUGGAGUCUGCAA
RNAcentral lists this ribosomal RNA (540 nucleotides) under uncultured Acinetobacter sp. RNAcentral describes it as "bacterial SSU rRNA". It matches the Rfam family "Bacterial small subunit ribosomal RNA", at positions 771 to 1310 of the family's 1533-position model. The record is from RNAcentral. Lineage: Bacteria; Pseudomonadati; Pseudomonadota; Gammaproteobacteria; Moraxellales; Moraxellaceae.